CCUACGGGAGGCUGCAGUGAGGAAUAUUGGUCAAUGGGCGCAAGCCUGAACCAGCCAAGUCGCGUGAGGGAUGACUGCCCUACGGGUCGUAAACCUCUUUUAUAAAGGAAUAAAGUGCGGCACGUGUGCCUUUUUGUAUGUAUCUUAUGAAUAAGGAUUGGCUAACUCCGUGCCAGCCGCCGCGGUAAUACGGAGGAUCCGAGCGUUAUACGGAUUUAUUGGGUUUAAAGGGGGCGUAGGGGGGUUGUUAAGUCAGGUGUGAACGUUUGCGGCUCAACCGUAAAAUUGCCAUUGAUACUGGCAGCCUGGAGUACAGUUGAGGUAGGCGGAAUUCGUGGUGUAGCGGUGAAAUGCUUAGAUAUCACGAAGAACCCCGAUUGCGAAGGCAGCCUACUAAACUGCGACUGACACUGAUGCACGAAAGUGUGGGUAUCAAACAGGAUUAGAUACCCGAGUAGUC
This 460-nucleotide ribosomal RNA is filed under the name uncultured bacterium. Its description in RNAcentral is "partial 16S ribosomal RNA". It matches the Rfam family "Bacterial small subunit ribosomal RNA", at positions 338 to 795 of the family's 1533-position model. The record is from RNAcentral.